AUUUGCUUCCCCAUCAUAUUAAUGAAAUUUUAAAAACCCAUGGGAUAAAUCUUUGCUUUACUUUUUGUCCCUCACAUGAUUUGCACUACGUGAAUUGUGGUAUUAAAAGAGAAGUUAGAUGCCACUUAGCACACAUAUUUAUUGAGCACCUCCUAGGUGUCUGGCUUUCUGCAUUUGGUGGUGCCUGCGCCUAUUUAACGGAAGAUCUGGAGACCUGGAGGAAGAAAUGACAUCCUGCUCCAGUAUUCCUGCCUGGGAAAUUCCAAGGACAGAGGAGCCUGGCGGGCUACUUUCCAUGGGACUGCAAAGAGUGGAACAUGACUGAGCACAGCACAGCACCUACAGCCAAAACACAGGACCAUAAACCUACCACUCGACAGCACGACAAAAGUCAAGGGUUAUCACCAAUGGUCAGCAACAUCCUAUAAUAAUUCCAUGUGAGCCAAGGAAGGCUUUUGUACAUUUCAAAAAAAAAAAAAGCAAAUGUGUCCCCAAACUGUAAAACCUGAAGCAUUUUCUUCUGGAAACUUAAUCUGGACAUAUUUUAUUUCCUUUCAUAUAUCAUUAGCAUAAGCUUAAAAUUAGAGGAAAAUACUUGUGGAUGCUAUAUUUUUUACCAUAAACUUAAGAAUGUAAGGUUAAAAAAAAGUGAUAACCUGUGUGCUUUCUAAAUGUAUCCUUUGCACAUAAAUCAAACCGUAAGCAAAUAAUCAUUAAAGUAGGAAAAUGCCAUGAAUUCUGU
Molecule: long non-coding RNA, 742 nt
Organism: Bos taurus (domestic cattle)
Lineage: Eukaryota; Metazoa; Chordata; Mammalia; Artiodactyla; Bovidae
Source: Ensembl